UACGUAGGGGGCUAGCGUUAUCCGGAAUUACUGGGCGUAAAGGGUGCGUAGGUGGUUUCUUAAGUCAGAGGUGAAAGGCUACGGCUCAACCGUAGUAAGCCUUUGAAACUGGGGAACUUGAGUGCAGGAGAGGAGAAUGGAAUUCCUAGUGUAGCGGUGAAAUGCGUAGAUAUUAGGAGGAACGCCAGUUGCGAAGGCGGCUCUCUGGACUGUAACUGACACUGAGGCACGAAAGCGUGGGGAGCAAACAGG
This 252-nucleotide ribosomal RNA is filed under the name uncultured bacterium. Its description in RNAcentral is "partial 16S ribosomal RNA". It matches the Rfam family "Bacterial small subunit ribosomal RNA", at positions 524 to 776 of the family's 1533-position model. The record is from RNAcentral.